RNAcentral lists this ribosomal RNA (492 nucleotides) under uncultured bacterium. RNAcentral's name for it is "partial 16S ribosomal RNA". It matches the Rfam family "Bacterial small subunit ribosomal RNA", at positions 29 to 507 of the family's 1533-position model. The record is from RNAcentral.
AGUGAACGCUGGCGGUAGGCCUAACACAUGCAAGUCGAACGGCAGCACAGUAAGAGCUUGCUCUUACGGGUGGCGAGUGGAGGACGGGUGGGGAAUACAUCGGAAUCUACUUUUUCGUGGGGGAUAACGUAGGGAAACUUACGCUAAUACCGCAUACGACCUACGGGUGAAAGCAGGGGAUCUUCGGACCUUGCGCGAUUGAAUGAGCCGAUGUCGGAUUAGCUAGUUGGCGGGGUAAAGGCCCACCAAGGCGACGAUCCGUAGCUGGUCUGAGAGGAUGGUCAGACACACUGGAACUGAGACACGGUCCAGACUCCUACGGGAGGCAGCAGUGGGGAAUAUUGGACAAUGGGAGCAAGCCUGAUCCAGCCAUACCGCGUGGGUGAAGAAGGCCUUCGGGUUGUAAAGCCCUUUUGUUGGGAAAGAAAAGCAGCAGGUUAAUACCCCGCUGUUCUGACGGUACCCAAAGAAUAAGCACCGGCUAACUUCGUG